Molecule: long non-coding RNA, 2217 nt
Organism: Globicephala melas (long-finned pilot whale)
Lineage: Eukaryota; Metazoa; Chordata; Mammalia; Artiodactyla; Delphinidae
Source: RefSeq, a predicted model, not a curated record
GACCAGAGGAGGACAAGAGACUUCUAUGCGGUAUGCAGGGACGAUUUGGGUGACAUCUGAGACGCAGCCGCACUUCAACAAGCGUCCGGGCUCCAGGAACAUGGCGGCGGCCUCUGUGGUGUCGAUGCUGCUGCUGGCGACUGAGAGGAACCAGUGGCAGUCAUUCCAGAGCCCGCUGCUGCUGCUGCCGCUGCCGCUGCCGCUGCCGAGGCAACGAUCCAAAAGGUAGUUCUGGCACUUGGAUACUACUAUGUUGGAGCAACUUGUCAUGCCUGCAUUGUGUGGAACCAGUGUUCAAAAUAAAAUGCAAAAACUUCAGGCUUGUGGAGGAGGGAGCACAUGAUGUCCUGGUACUCCAGGGAGACCAUUUGAUAUGUUAAAUAGAAUAUAUCAUUUCAUUGUCUCUUUUUUAAGGUUGUGUUGCUUUCUGCCUUAGUGCCAAUUGAUAUGCUGAAGACCUCAAAAAGUUCCUGAGAAAUCCAUUUCAAAUUCUGGUGAAGAAAGAAGAGCUGACCUCUGAAAAGAAUUGGCAGUGGGAGUCAAUUUGGGAGGAAGGCUGUGGCCUUAAACAUUGAAGAAAAGAAGAAGAUUCUUUGUGACACUGAGCCUUUCUACCAUACUACACUGGAGGAAAUGCCAAUGAAUGUGGAUGACCUAAUUUAAUUCCUGGGAUGAAAUGGUUUUGAAUGUAGUGCUUGCUGUUGGUGAAUAGGCAAUCACAAGGUGCAUCAUGCUUCUUUUGGGGGAAAUAUUUGAAGUUUUGUCUCAAUGCUCAUAACAGAUCAAAAAUAUAGAUUUUGAUAGCAAAGCAACUUCAGCCAUGAGCUCAUGUGAGGAAAGUCAUUGGCUUUAUCCUCUUUAGAAUUAGACUGUUGGGGUAGCUAUAAAAGAUGGGCUUGUACCCAAUCGAAAAAUGGGCAGAAGACCUAAAUAUACAUUUCUCCAAAGAAGACAUACAGAUGGCCAACAGGCAAAUGAAAAAAGUCUCAACAUGGCUAAUUAUCAGAGAUAUGCAAAUCAAAACUACAAUGAGAUACUGCCUCACACCAGUCAGAAUAGCCAUUAUUAAAAAGUCUACAAAUAGCAAAUGCUGGAGAGGGUGUGGAGAAGAGGGAACCCUCUUACACUGUUGGUGGAAAUGUAAAUUUGUGCAGCCACUAUGAAGAACAGUAUGGAGGUUCCUCAAGAAACUAAAAAUAGAAUUACCAUAUGAUCCAGCAAUCCCACUCCUGGGCAUAUAUCCAGACAAAACUAUAAUUCAAAAAGAUACAUGCACCCCUAUGGUCAUAGCAGCACUAUUCACAAUAGCCAAGACAUGGAAACCACCUAAAUGUCCACCUAGAGAUGAAUGGAUAAAGAAGAUGUGGUACAUAUAAUACAAUGCAAUACUACUCAGCCAUAAAAAAGAAUGAAAUAAUGCCAUUUGCAGCAACAUGGAUGGAACUGGAGGUUAUCAUACUAAGUGAAGAAGUCAGAAAGAGAAAGAAAAAUACCAUAUGAUAUCACUUAUAUGUGGAAUCUAAAAUAUGACACAAAUGAACCUACCUACGAAACAGAAACAGACUCACAGACAUAGAGAACAGACCUGUGUUUGCCAAGGCAGUGGGGGUGGGGAGAGGAGAGAUGGAUUGGGAGGUUGGGGUUAGCAGAUGCAAACUAUUAUAUACAGGAUGGAUAAACAAUGAGGUCCUACUGUAUAGCACAGGGAACUAUAUUCAACACCCUGUGAUAAAACAUAUUGGAAAAGACUAUGAAAAAGAAUACAUAUUUAUGUAUAACUGAAUCACUUUGCUGUAGAGCAGAAAUUAACUCAACAUUGUAAAUCAACUAUACUUCAAUUUAAGAAAAAGAUGGGGUUGUAAAUCUUAGAAUUUUAUCUCCUAGUUCUCUACACAUGGUUAUAUUGAGUGUUCACUAUCAUUUAAUAAUAUACUUGUUGACUGAAAGAUACGUGCUGUAUAAAAACAGCCAAUUAUAUUAAACUAGUAUAUCUGCUGUUAUUGUGUUAGCCAUUAGACUGAAUGGAACUAACUUUAAAAUGAUUUUUUAAGAAAAUAUUUGAAUUUAUUUUGUUUGGUAUCGUUUUUAUUCAGUAAGGCAUUUUAUUAGUGGUAAGUGUAAACUAGAGUCUUUUGCUAAACACCAGCAACAAUCAUGUCCUACAGUUAAGUCUCAGAAAAAUUGCUGUAUUGUAUAUUGAAUUUUCAAUAAAUUAAA